GGAUGAAGAACGUAGCGAAAUGCGAUAAGUAAUGUGAAUUGCAGAAUUCAGUGAACCAUCGAAUCUUUGAACGCACAUUGCGCCCGGCAGUAAUCUGCCGGGCAUGCCUGUCCGAGCGUCAUUUCUGCCCUCGAGCGCGUCCAGCAUCUAGGUGCUGCGGCCGCCCGGCGUUGGGGCACUACGGGAAGCCUCGUGCUAUCCCCCGUAGGCCCCGAAAUGAAGUGGCGGUCCUGCCGCGGCGCCCCCUGCGUAGUAUUACAGCUCGCUUCGGGACCCGGUGGAGGCCUGCCGUCAAACCUUACUCUCUAAGUUUGACCUCGGAUCAGGUAGGGUUACCCGCUGAACUUAAGCAUAUCAAUAAGCGGAGGA
RNAcentral lists this unclassified non-coding RNA (369 nucleotides) under soil metagenome. RNAcentral describes it as "partial contains 5.8S ribosomal RNA, internal transcribed spacer 2, and large subunit ribosomal RNA". The stretch from base 2 to 121 matches the Rfam family "5.8S ribosomal RNA", at positions 35 to 154 of the family's 154-position model. The record is from RNAcentral.